This 403-nucleotide long non-coding RNA is filed under the name Selaginella moellendorffii. RNAcentral's name for it is "long non-coding RNA (SMOE_LNC001537)". Lineage: Eukaryota; Viridiplantae; Streptophyta; Lycopodiopsida; Selaginellales; Selaginellaceae. The record is from RNAcentral.
CCCACCGCCGGCUCCUCCCUCUUCAGCCUCAGCAACCUUCGCAACGAGGAACAAACCAUCAGAGGUUAAACAGGUAGAAAGAAACUCCAACCUUGUAAAAUCCUUUGAUAGCAAGUUCUGUUGUGGCUGAUAUUCUUGCGAUCUGUGCUCUCAGAUAGUUCUCCUCGAGUCCAGGGAACACUGGAAACGCCGAAACUUCAGCCUGGAAGCGUCACGGCGGAGUUUUCUCAAGAGCUCAUGAAAUCCAAGUAAGCAAUUUUGCGAACUCUACAAUAUACCUUCAAGUCUCCAGUCAAGAACUUUUUUAUCUGCCUCGCGGUCUUGAUUUGCAGCGGCGUCACGUCUGGAAGCCUGUAAAACUCGGCGCCUGGCCGGCUACAAACCCAGUACGUGUGCCCAUUCG